This 73-nucleotide transfer RNA is filed under the name Myxococcaceae bacterium. Its description in RNAcentral is "tRNA-Glu". It matches the Rfam family "tRNA". From Rfam's summary of the family: Transfer RNA (tRNA) molecules are approximately 80 nucleotides in length. The record is from RNAcentral. Lineage: Bacteria; Pseudomonadati; Myxococcota; Myxococcia; Myxococcales; Myxococcaceae. RNAcentral also lists the same sequence under 1 other name.
GGCCCCGUCGUCUAGCGGCCUAGGACGGAGCCCUCUCACGGCUCAAACCCGGGUUCGAAUCCCGGCGGGGUCA